Non-coding RNA from Myotis brandtii (Brandt's bat), 75 nucleotides. The record is from Rfam. NCBI's taxonomy places the organism in Eukaryota, Metazoa, Chordata, Mammalia, Chiroptera, Vespertilionidae.
GGCAGUUCUCAGGUGGCGUACCGCAGAAUUGGGCUCCCUUCUCUCUGGGUCCAAGUGUGUCACCUGAGAACUGCA